ACAGUGGUAUUUCAAUAGUAGAAUUCCUGCCUUGCAUGUGGGAGACCCAGGCUUGAUUCCUGGCCAAUGGA
RNAcentral lists this transfer RNA (71 nucleotides) under Loxodonta africana (African savanna elephant). It matches the Rfam family "tRNA". From Rfam's summary of the family: Transfer RNA (tRNA) molecules are approximately 80 nucleotides in length. The record is from Rfam by way of RNAcentral. Lineage: Eukaryota; Metazoa; Chordata; Mammalia; Proboscidea; Elephantidae.